RNAcentral lists this ribosomal RNA (211 nucleotides) under uncultured bacterium. RNAcentral describes it as "partial 16S ribosomal RNA". It matches the Rfam family "Bacterial small subunit ribosomal RNA", at positions 1282 to 1500 of the family's 1533-position model. The record is from RNAcentral.
CCUCUCUCAGUUCGGACUGGAGUCUGCAACCCGACUCCACGAAGCUGGAUUCGCUAGUAAUCGCGCAUCAGCCACGGCGCGGUGAAUACGUUCCCGGGCCUUGUACACACCGCCCGUCAAGCCAUGGGAGCCGGGGGUACCUGAAGUGCGUAACCGCGAGGAGCGCCCUAGGGUAAAACUGGUGACUGGGGCUAAGUCGUAACAAGGUAAC